Molecule: ribosomal RNA, 516 nt
Filed under: Triticum aestivum (bread wheat)
Lineage: Eukaryota; Viridiplantae; Streptophyta; Magnoliopsida; Poales; Poaceae
Description: partial small subunit ribosomal RNA
Source: RNAcentral
AUGUGGAGGCAAAGAUCCAGAAUUCAAUGGAUUCGGGAAGGUGAUGCAAGUACAAGAUUUUUCCAUGCCAAAGCUUCAGCUCGUCAUAGGAAGAAUUAUAUUCACCGUCUUGUGGUCGAGGGGACACCAAUCACCAGCCAGGAUGGCAAGGACAAGGCCCUAUUUCAAUUUUACUCACAGCUCUUGGGCCGCAAGCGCAACAGGGCAAACUCGCUAAAUGUGGACGCCAUCGGUAUUGUGGCAUCUGAUCUCACUGAAUUGGAGCAACCAAUCCUUGAAGAUGAAGUGAAGGCGGUGUUGUUCGAGCUCGAUCCGAACAAGGCGCCGGGUCCUGACGGGUAUACGCCAUGUUUUUUUCAGAGCUGCUGGGACACUGUCAAGGAAGAUGUCAUGAGGGCCAUCGGCGAGGUAGAAAAGCUUAAUGCAACCGACCUGCACCUGCUCAACUCGGCUACCAUAGUAUAUUGUUGCCAAAGAAUCCUGACGUGGCUUCGCCUCAUGACUACCGGCCAAUAG